This 74-nucleotide transfer RNA is filed under the name Platysiphonia delicata. Its description in RNAcentral is "tRNA-Gln". It matches the Rfam family "tRNA". From Rfam's summary of the family: Transfer RNA (tRNA) molecules are approximately 80 nucleotides in length. Their secondary structure includes four short double-helical elements and three loops (D, anti-codon, and T loops). The record is from RNAcentral. Lineage: Eukaryota; Rhodophyta; Florideophyceae; Ceramiales; Delesseriaceae.
UUGGGGUGUAGCCAAGUGGUAAGGCAGCGGACUUUGACUCCGCGAUUCGCAGGUUCGAAUCCUCCCACCCCAGA